GACGAACGCUGGCGGCGUGCCUAAUACAUGCAAGUCGAGCGCAGGAAACUGACGGAACUCUUCGGAGGAAAGGCAGCGGAAUGAGCGGCGGACGGGUGAGUAACACGUAAGGAACCUGCCUCAAGGAUUGGGAUAACUCCGAGAAAUCGGAGCUAAUACCGAAUAGUUCAACGGACCGCAUGGUCCGCUGAUGAAAGGCGCUCCGGCGUCACCUUGAGAUGGCCUUGCGGUGCAUUAGCUAGUUGGUGGGGUAACGGCCCACCAAGGCGACGAGGCAUAGCCGACCUGCGAGGGUGAUCGGCCACACUGGGACUGAGACACGGCCCAGACUCCUACGGGAGGCAGCAGUAGGGAAUCUUCCACAAUGGACGAAAGUCUGAUGGAGCAACGCCGCGUGAGUGAUGAAGGUUUUCGGAUCGUAAAACUCUGUUGUAAGGGAAGAACACGUACGAGAGGGAAUGCUCGUACCUUGACGGUACCUUACGAGAAAGCCACGGCUAACUACGUGCCAGCAGCCGCAGUAA
This 524-nucleotide ribosomal RNA is filed under the name uncultured bacterium. RNAcentral's name for it is "partial 16S ribosomal RNA". It matches the Rfam family "Bacterial small subunit ribosomal RNA", at positions 28 to 523 of the family's 1533-position model. The record is from RNAcentral.